GGGAUUGCCUUAGUAACGGCGAGUGAAGCGGCAACAGCUCAAAUUUGAAAUCUGGCUUCGGCCCGAGUUGUAAUUUGUAGAGGAUGUUUAUGGUGCGGUACCUUCCGAGUUCCCUGGAACGGGACGCCACAGAGGGUGAGAGCCCCGUCUGGUUGGAUACCAAACCUGUGUUAAACUCCUUCAACGAGUCGAGUAGUUUGGGAAUGCUGCUCUAAAUGGGAGGUAAAUCUCUUCUAAAGCUAAAUACCGGCCAGAGACCGAUAGCGCACAAGUAGAGUGAUCGAAAGAUGAAAAGCACCUUGAAAAGGGGGUUAAACAGUACGUGAAAUUGUUGAAAGGGAAGCGUUUAUGACCAGACUUGUGCCGUGUGGCUCAUCCGAGGUUCUCCUCGGUGCACUCCACACGGUUCAGGCCAACAUCGGUUUUCGCUGGGGGAUAAGAACAGUAGGAAAGUAGCUCCCCUCGGGGAGUGUUAUAGCCUAUUGUACGAUACCCUGGCGGGGACCGAGGACCGCGCUUCGGCUAGGAUGUUGGCGUAAUGGUCAUUAGCGACCCGUCUUGAAACACGGACCAAGGAGUCGUCCAUUAGAGCGAGCGUUUGGGUGUAAAACCCGCACGCGUAAUGAAAGUGAAAUUAGGUGAGAGCUUCGGCGCAUCAUCGACCGAUCCUGAAGUUUACGGAUGGAUUUGAGUAAGAGUUUUAACGGACGGACCCGAAAGACAGUGAACUAUGCUUGAAUAGGGUGAAGCCAGAGGAAACUCUGGUGGAGGCUCGCAGCGGUUCUGACGUGCAAAUCGAUCGUCAAAUUUGAGCAUGGGGGCGAAAGACUAAUCGAACUGUCUAGUAGCUGGUUACCGCCGAAGUUUCCCUCAGGAUAGCAGUGUUGACCUUCAGUUUUAUGAGGUAAAGCGAAUGAUUAGGGACUCGGGGGCGCUUAUUAGCCUUCAUCCAUUCUCAAACUUUAAAUAUGUAAGAAGCCCUUGUUACUUAAUUGAACGUGGGCAUUCGAAUGUACCAACACUAGUGGGCCAUUUUUGGUAAGCAGAACUGGCGAUGCGGGAUGAACCGAACGGGGGGUUAAGGCGCCAGAAUGUACGCUCAUCAGACACCACAAAAGGCGUUAGUACAUCUUGACAGCAGGACGGUGGCCAUGGAAGUCGGAAUCCGCUAAGGACUGUGUAACAACUCACCUGCCGAAUGUACUAGCCCUGAAAAUGGAUGGCGCUCAAGCGUACUGCCCAUACCCCCCCUUCAGGGUAGAAACGAUGCCCUGAAGAGUAGGCGGCCGUGGAGGUUGUGACGAAGCCUAGGGCGUGAGCCCGGGUCGAAC
RNAcentral lists this ribosomal RNA (1331 nucleotides) under Ophiognomonia intermedia. RNAcentral's name for it is "eukaryotic LSU rRNA". It matches the Rfam family "Eukaryotic large subunit ribosomal RNA", at positions 71 to 1433 of the family's 3401-position model. The record is from RNAcentral. Lineage: Eukaryota; Fungi; Ascomycota; Sordariomycetes; Diaporthales; Gnomoniaceae.